GGGGAUUUAGCUCAGUGGCAUAAGCACCUGCCUGGCAAGUGCGUGGUCAUGAGUUCAACCUCAAUACCCCCA
RNAcentral lists this transfer RNA (72 nucleotides) under Cavia porcellus (domestic guinea pig). It matches the Rfam family "tRNA". Rfam says of the family: Transfer RNA (tRNA) molecules are approximately 80 nucleotides in length. Their secondary structure includes four short double-helical elements and three loops (D, anti-codon, and T loops). The record is from Rfam by way of RNAcentral. Lineage: Eukaryota; Metazoa; Chordata; Mammalia; Rodentia; Caviidae.